RNAcentral lists this ribosomal RNA (514 nucleotides) under uncultured bacterium. RNAcentral describes it as "bacterial SSU rRNA". It matches the Rfam family "Bacterial small subunit ribosomal RNA", at positions 16 to 518 of the family's 1533-position model. The record is from RNAcentral.
AUCCUGGCUCAGGAUGAACGCUAGCUACAGGCUUAACACAUGCAAGUCGAGGGGCAGCAUGGUCUUAGCUUGCUAAGACUGAUGGCGACCGGCGCACGGGUGAGUAACGCGUAUCCAACCUGGCCCUUAGUAGGGAACAGCCCGGCGAAAGUCGGAUUAAUGCCCUAUGUUUUCCAAUGAUGGCAUCUGACUUGGAACAAAGAUUCAUCGCUAAGGGAUGGGGAUGCGUCUGAUUAGCUUGUCGGCGGGGUAACGGCCCACCGAGGCGACGAUCAGUAGGGGUUCUGAGAGGAAGGUCCCCCACAUUGGUACUGAGACACGGACCAAACUCCUACGGGAGGCAGCAGUGAGGAAUAUUGGUCAAUGGGCGCGAGCCUGAACCAGCCAAGUAGCGUGCAAGGAAGACUGCCCUAUGGGUUGUAAACUGCUUUUAUGCGGGAAUAAAGUCAGGUACGCGUACCUGUUUGUAUGUACCGCAUGAAUAAGGACCGGCUAAUUCCGUGCCAGCCGCAGC